CCUACGGGGGGCAGCAGUGAGGAAUAUUGGUCAAUGGACGAGAGUCUGAACCAGCCAAGUAGCGUGAAGGAUGACUGCCCUAUGGGUUGUAAACUUCUUUUAUAUGGGAAUAAAAUGUUCCACGUGUGGGUUUUUGUAUUUACCAUAUGAAUAAGGAUCGGCUAACUCCGUGCCAGCAGCCGCGGUACUACGGAGGAUCCGAGCGUUAUCCGGAUUUAUUGGGUUUAAAGGGAGCGUAGGUGGAUUGUUAAGUCAGUUGUGAAAGUUUGCGGCUCAACCGUAAAAUUGCAGUUGAAACUGGCAGUCUUGAGUAUAGUAGAGGUGGGCGGAAUUCGAGGUGGAGCGGUGAAAUGCUUAGAUAUCACGAAGAAUUCCGAUUGCGAAGGCAGCCCACUGGACUGCGACUGACACUGAGGCGCGAAAGUGUGGGUAUCAAACAGGAUUAGAUACCCUUGUAGUC
RNAcentral lists this ribosomal RNA (460 nucleotides) under uncultured bacterium. RNAcentral's name for it is "partial 16S ribosomal RNA". It matches the Rfam family "Bacterial small subunit ribosomal RNA", at positions 338 to 795 of the family's 1533-position model. The record is from RNAcentral.